This 253-nucleotide ribosomal RNA is filed under the name uncultured bacterium. Its description in RNAcentral is "partial 16S ribosomal RNA". It matches the Rfam family "Bacterial small subunit ribosomal RNA", at positions 524 to 776 of the family's 1533-position model. The record is from RNAcentral.
UACGUAGGGUGCGAGCGUUGUCCGGAAUUAUUGGGCGUAAAGAGCUCGUAGGCGGCUUGUCGCGUCGUCUGUGAAAUCCCACGGCUCAACUGUGGGCUUGCAGUCGAUACGGGCAGGCUGGAGUUCGGUAGGGGAGACUGGAAUUCCUGGUGUAGCGGUGAAAUGCGCAGAUAUCAGGAGGAACACCGAUGGCGAAGGCAGGUCUCUGGGCCACUACUGACGCUGAGAAGCGAAAGCAUGGGGAGCGAACAGG